CGACCGCGUUGUGCAGGCGGCGCAGCGUGCCGUUGCGGUCGGCAUCGGAGAUCCGCAUCUCGGCCGGUUCGACGGAUCGCCCGUGGUUGA
RNAcentral lists this transfer RNA (90 nucleotides) under Mycolicibacterium parafortuitum. RNAcentral's name for it is "tRNA-Arg". Lineage: Bacteria; Bacillati; Actinomycetota; Actinomycetes; Mycobacteriales; Mycobacteriaceae. The record is from RNAcentral.